UUCGACGAGUCGAGUUGUUUGGGAAUGCAGCUCUAAAUGGGAGGUAAAUUUCUUCUAAAGCUAAAUACUGGCCAGAGACCGAUAGCGCACAAGUAGAGUGAUCGAAAGAUGAAAAGCACUUUGGAAAGAGAGUCAAAUAGCACGUGAAAUUGUUGAAAGGGAAGCGCUUGCAGCCAGACUUGCCUGUAGUUGCUCAUCUGGGCUUUUGCCCGGUGCAUUCUUCUGCAGGCAGGCCAGCAUCAGUUUGGGCGGUUGGAUAAAGGUCUCUGUCAUGUACCUCUCUUCGGGGAGGCCUUAUAGGGGAGACGUCAUGCAACCAGCCUGGACUGAGGUCCGCGCAUUUGCUAGGAUGCUGGCGUAAUGGCUGUAAGCGGCCCGUCUUGAAACACGGACCAAGGAGUCUAACAUCUAUGCGAGUGUUUGGGUGUCAAGCCCGAGCGCGUAAUGAAAGUGAACGGAGGUGGGAACCCUUUGGGUGCACCAUCGACCGAUCCUGAUGUCUUCGGA
RNAcentral lists this ribosomal RNA (507 nucleotides) under Sphaerellopsis paraphysata. RNAcentral describes it as "partial large subunit ribosomal RNA". It matches the Rfam family "Eukaryotic large subunit ribosomal RNA", at positions 256 to 784 of the family's 3401-position model. Lineage: Eukaryota; Fungi; Ascomycota; Dothideomycetes; Pleosporales; Leptosphaeriaceae. The record is from RNAcentral.